RNAcentral lists this ribosomal RNA (1428 nucleotides) under human gut metagenome. RNAcentral describes it as "bacterial LSU rRNA". It matches the Rfam family "Bacterial large subunit ribosomal RNA", at positions 1190 to 2636 of the family's 2925-position model. The record is from RNAcentral.
AGUACCGAAUCUAUGGAUUUGUGCAGAAAUGUAUAAGUGGUAGGGGAGCGUUCCAAACAGCAUAGAAGGCAUACCGUAAGGAGUGCUGGAGCGUUUGGAAGUGAGAAUGCCGGUGUGAGUAGCGAGAUGCAGGUGAGAAUCCUGCACACCGAUAGACCAAGGUUUCCAGGGGAAGGUUCGUCCGCCCUGGGUAAGUCGGGACCUAAGACGAGGCAGAAAUGCGUAGCCGAUGGACAACUGGUUUAUAUUCCAGUACCCGCGAUACAACUGAAGGAGUGACGGAAAAGGUUACCUCGAGCCCUUAAUGGAUUGGGCAGGACAGAGAGGAGCAGGCAGCAGGCAAAUCCGCUGCAGGAUGCAGAGCUCUGGACCGAAUGAACGAGCGAUCAAGUAGUGAAGAGAGAGAUACCAGUUCCCGAGAAAAGCUUCUAAGGCUAAUUGUAUAGCGGCCCGUACCAAAACCGACACAGGUGGUCAAGGCGAGUAGCCUGAGGUGAGCGAGAGAACUGUUGCCAAGGAACUCGGCAAACUGACCCCGUACGUUAGCAAUAAGGGGUGCUCGAAAGAGCCGCAGUGAAUAGGCCCUAGCAACUGUUUAACUAAAACAUAGCUCUCUGCCAAGCCGCAAGGCGAAGUAUAGGGGGUGACACCUGCCCGGUGCUGGAAGGUCAAGGGGAUUUGUCAGCGCAAGCGAAGCAUUGAACCGAAGCCCCAGUGAACGGCGGCCGUAACUAUAACGGUCCUAAGGUAGCGAAAUUCCUUGUCAGGUAAGUUCUGACCCGCACGAAAGGUGUAAUGAUUUGGGCACUGUCUCGGCAGCAGACUCGGUGAAAUCUUAGUACCUGUGAAGAUGCAGGUUACCCGCAACUAGACGGAAAGACCCCAUGGAGCUUUACUGCAGUCUGCUAUUGAGUUUCGGUUGGAUAUGCACAGGAUAGGUGGGAGACGAUGAGACGUGGAUUUCGGUCUACGAGGAGUCACUGUUGGGAUACCACUCUUAUUCAACUGGAAUUCUAACUGAUAUCCGUGAUCCGGAUACAGGACCGUGGCAGAUGGGCAGUUUGACUGGGGCGGUCGCCUCCCAAAGAGUAACGGAGGCGCACAAAGGUACUCUCAGAAUGGUUGGAAAUCAUUCAGCGAGCGCAAACGCAGAAGAGUGCUUGACUGCGAGACAUACAGGUCGAGCAGGGACGAAAGUCGGUGUUAGUGAUCCGGCGGUGCAGAAUGGAAUGGCCGUCGCUUAACGGAUAAAAGCUACCCUGGGGAUAACAGGCUGAUCUCGCCCAAGAGUUCACAUCGACGGCGAGGUUUGGCACCUCGAUGUCGGCUCAUCGCAUCCUGGAGGUGAAUUCGCUUCCAAGGGUUGGGCUGUCCGCCCAUUAAAGCGGUACGCGAGCUGGGUUCAGAACGUCGUGAGACAGUUCGGUC